GGAGUCUUUCAUUCUGUCAUGGCACUGUACUGUGUAGCCUGCUAGCUCGAUGGCAGAGUCCGCUACGUCUGGAUGCAGCCAGGUCUCCGUGAUCAGAAGAAUACAGCUGUCCUUCACUGCGCUGUGAGAUGCAGCCUGUAGUCUCAGUUCAUCCAUCUUGUUUGCAAGGGAUCUGGCGUUGGAGAGAAACAGGCUGGGGAGCGGUGGUUUGUGUGGUUGCCUCCGUAGCCUAGCUAGCAGGCUGGCUCUGCAGCCCCGCUUCUGCCUUCUCUCUCUACGCCGCCGUCGCUUCCUCCCUGCUGCGAUGGUAAUCCACGGCGCCCCGGGGCUCCUCGCCAUGUCCCCCGGAAUAUUGAACAAGCGUUGAAAAUCAGCUGUAACAUCUCGUUCGUAGCGGGAACCGAUCGUCAGGAGAUCGUCCCGACUGUAUAUUUUGUUUCACCGACCGAGAGAGCAAUGAGCCGCUGCAACUGCGUGCGCCGCCAUCUUGGG
Xiphophorus hellerii (green swordtail) is the source of this 492-nucleotide long non-coding RNA. RefSeq lists it as uncharacterized. The record is from RefSeq and is a predicted model, not a curated record. Lineage: Eukaryota; Metazoa; Chordata; Actinopteri; Cyprinodontiformes; Poeciliidae. The transcript has 2 exons.